RNAcentral lists this ribosomal RNA (429 nucleotides) under uncultured bacterium. Its description in RNAcentral is "bacterial SSU rRNA". It matches the Rfam family "Bacterial small subunit ribosomal RNA", at positions 355 to 776 of the family's 1533-position model. The record is from RNAcentral.
UGGGGAAUUUUGGACAAUGGGGGAAACCCUGAUCCAGCCAUCCCGCGUGUGCGAUGAAGGCCUUCGGGUUGUAAAGCACUUUUGGCAGGGAAGAAACGGCGUUGGUUAAUACCUGACGUCACUGACGGUACCUGCAGAAUAAGCACCGGCUAACUACGUGCCAGCAGCCGCGGUAAUACGUAGGGUGCAAGCGUUAAUCGGAAUUACUGGGCGUAAAGCGUGCGCAGGCGGUUUGGCAAGAAAGAUGUGAAAUCCCAGGGCUUAACCUUGGAACUGCAUUUUUAACUGCCAGGCUAGAGUAUGUCAGAGGGGGGUAGAAUUCCACGUGUAGCAGUGAAAUGCGUAGAUAUGUGGAGGAAUACCGAUGGCGAAGGCAGCCCCCUGGGAUAAUACUGACGCUCAUGCACGAAAGCGUGGGGAGCAAACAGG